RNAcentral lists this ribosomal RNA (669 nucleotides) under Acarospora sp. RNAcentral's name for it is "partial large subunit ribosomal RNA". It matches the Rfam family "Eukaryotic large subunit ribosomal RNA", at positions 229 to 906 of the family's 3401-position model. Lineage: Eukaryota; Fungi; Ascomycota; Lecanoromycetes; Acarosporales; Acarosporaceae. The record is from RNAcentral.
CGGUGGUGAAGCUCACUUUCGUACUGAAUUCAGAAGUUUGUUUUGGGAUAUGGCAGCUUCAAAAAUGGAGUGGGUAAAAUUUCAAUCUUAAAAGCUUAAAUUAUUGGCCGAAGACCGAUAGCGGCACAAGUAGAAGUGAUCGGAAAGAUGAAAAGCACUUUGGAAAGAGAGUCAACCAGUACGUGAAAUUGUUGAAAGGGAAGCGCUUGCAACCAGACUUGCCCGCGGGUGAUCAGCCGGUAUUUUUACCGGUGCACUCGCCCGUGGUCAGGCCAGCAUCGGUUUGGGCGGCGGGAUAAAGUCCUCCGGAAUGUAGCUCCUUUCGGGGAGUGUUAUAGCCGGGGGUGCAAUGCUGCCCGCUUGGACCGAGGACCGCGCUUUGGCUCGGAUGCUGGCGUAAUGGUUGUAAGCGACCCGUCUUGAAACACGGACCAAGGAGUUUAACAUUUAUGCGAGUGUUUGGGUGUCAAACCCAUGCGCGUAAUGAAAGUGAACGGAGGUGGGAACCCUCCAGGGUGCACCAUCGACCGAUCCUGAUGUCUUCGGAUGGAUUUGAGUAAGAGCAUAGCUGUUGGGACCCGAAAGAUGGUGAACUAUGCCUGAAUAGGGUGAAGCCAGAGGAAACUCUGGUGGAGGCUCGCAGCGGUUCUGACGUGCAAAUCGAUCGUC